RNAcentral lists this long non-coding RNA (528 nucleotides) under Callithrix jacchus (white-tufted-ear marmoset). Its description in RNAcentral is "lncRNA (ENSCJAG00000074988.1)". Lineage: Eukaryota; Metazoa; Chordata; Mammalia; Primates; Cebidae. The record is from RNAcentral.
CUGCCACAAAGAUUUUUCUGUACUAACUCAUCUGAUUUUAAAAUAGCCAAUGAAUAAAUGAACGAUUGAACAAACAAGAUAUCAUCUUAGAUGAUAUAUCCCAUGUCUGACUUAUCCUUAGAUACGUCAGAGUAUAUCUAAGUGUGUACAGACAUGAGCAGCAUUUCAAAGACAGAUCGGAAGGGUGUGAUGACAGAUUUAAGACUUAAGGCCAUGAACAGAAUGUCAGAGCACUCUCAAGUAUCACCUCUGGGUUCUCAAUUAUGAUGUCAGUUGAGACUCUUGACAAAUCAGGUGCCUGAAUGUAUUUUCCCUCCUAGUUGCCCACAGCUCAUGGUGGUAAGACUUCAGAAUUACGUAAAACUUGCAGUGAGAUCUUCCUCUAGGUUUGAUGUCAUCUGCAGAUGGAGGUCUAAGCAGAAAACACAAGCAUAGUGACUGUAUCAGCUCAGAGUGCUGGAAUCAUCCCUGUGCUGAGAAUUUACUGAUUCUGAAAUUUCAGAAAUUUCUGACAUGAGAAAUAAAAAC